Molecule: ribosomal RNA, 462 nt
Filed under: uncultured bacterium
Lineage: Bacteria
Description: partial 16S ribosomal RNA
Rfam family: Bacterial small subunit ribosomal RNA
Source: RNAcentral
CCUACGGGUGGCAGCAGUGAGGAAUAUUGGUCAAUGGACGCAAGUCUGAACCAGCCAAGUAGCGUGCAGGAUGACGGCCCUCCGGGUUGUAAACUGCUUUUAGUUGGGAAUAAAAGGGGGCUCGUGAGCUCCGUAUUGUAUGUACCAUCAGCAAAAGGACCGGCUACUUCCGUGCCAGCAGCCGCGGUAAUACGGAAGGUCCGGACGUUAUCCGGGUUUAUUGGGUUUAAAGGUAGCGUAGAUGGGUAGUUAAAUCAGGUGUGAAAAUUUUCGGUUCAACCGUAAAAUUGCAAUUGAUACUGGCGGUCUUGAGUGCAGUUGAGGUAGGCGGAAUUCGUGGUGUAGCGGUGAAAUGCUUAGAUAUCGAGAGGAACCCUCGUGGCGAAGGCGGGUUCCUGGACAUUAACUGACGCUGAGGCACGAAGGCCAGGGGAGCGAAAGGGAUUAGAUACCCGGGUAGUC